This 253-nucleotide ribosomal RNA is filed under the name uncultured bacterium. Its description in RNAcentral is "partial 16S ribosomal RNA". It matches the Rfam family "Bacterial small subunit ribosomal RNA", at positions 524 to 776 of the family's 1533-position model. The record is from RNAcentral.
UACGGGGGGGGCAAGCGUUGUUCGGAAUUACUGGGCGUAAAGGGCUCGUAGGCGGCCAACUAAGUCGGAUGUGAAAUCCCCAAGCUUAACUUGGGAACUGCAUCCGAUACUGGAUGGCUUGAAUCCGGGAGAGGGAUGCAGAAUUCCAGGUGUAGCGGUGAAAUGCGUAGAUAUCAGGAGGAACACCGGUGGCGAAGGCGGGUCUCUGGGCCGAUACUGACGCUGAGGAGCGAAAGCGUGGGGAGCGAACAGG